UUGAAAGGGAAACGAUUGAAGUCAGUCAUACCAACGGGAAAUCAACCUUUUGAGCUCGGUCUCGUGGGUUUUGAAGAGUUUCAAAGCCUUCGGAUUCGCGGGAUUGGGAUCUCUUGGUGUACUUUUUCGUACGGUUAGUCAACAUCGGUUUUGAAUGUCAUAAAAUGACUGGAGGAAUGUAGCUUCGAUCUCGUAUUGAAGUGUUAUAGCCUUUGGUAGAUGUGAUGUUUGAGACCGAGGAUUGCAACGGAUACCCUUCAGGGCUAUUCGUCUGAUCUCUGAUACGUUGCCUUGAUGUUGAAAGCUUGCUUAUGAUGUUAGGGUAUUACGGUCAAAAGGUUAGAACGAAUUACAUUCGUUAAGGAUGUUGACGUA
This 375-nucleotide ribosomal RNA is filed under the name uncultured Glomus. RNAcentral's name for it is "LSU rRNA". Lineage: Eukaryota; Fungi; Glomeromycota; Glomeromycetes; Glomerales; Glomeraceae. The record is from RNAcentral.